AGCAAACAUAGAGUUCUGGCUGAGAAAGAAAACCCUUCACUGGGGUCAAGCAAGAUGCACGCAGCAAGGGCUGGAAGGGAAAGGAAUACUUGAGAUGUGGAAGACAUCUCUGGGUAGGUCAUGACUCCCUCCAUGACAGCCCUACAGUCUUGAGAGGCCCUCCAGGUCUGUCUCCUGCAUGUGCGUCUUAUCUCCUUGACUCAGUGGCAUGGUUUUGCUGCUUCAGAAGUGGGAGAAUAGCAGCACGCCAAAUCCUAGAGUAUCUUGGACUAGAACAACAACAAGAAGUGGGCUCCUGAGGGGUGUGUCCUGUCCCACUUUAUUUGGCAGGGAAUAAUUCCCCCCAGCAAAGCUGUUGCCUCUCCUGUUCGGUGGCUGUCUGUUGUAGCUGCAAUGACUCUUUCUGGCAUGCCUUCUCUCUCUUCAGACAUGCCAGAAUCGAGGAAAGGAGCUGUGCUCCACCAUGCCCUCUCUCAGCGAGGUUAUUUAGAUGUAUGCUUCACCAAUUCCACAUGCGUUAGACUUGUUUCCAAACAGAUCUUUCCAAAGGUUUGCUGCCUUUAUGAGGAACCUUAUUCACUCCUUGGGCAAAGUAAUUUUAAAGAGGGCGACAGCUAAUAUUUCACAUGCUGCUCACCACAAUUUUUAAUACCCGCUCUUACUUUGCCUGCCUUCAGAUUUUAGCAGUGCAGCAAUAAAAGUGUGACGAUCGACAGGAUGCCCUCAGUAGGUACUGGAACAGCUGUUAAGCCCUUUGCUAAGAAUGGGCUGUAUGAAAAUCUUAAGCAGGAAGCUCUGCAUCUCUGCUGGCAGGUGGUACUUAAACUUCUGUGCAUGCUUAGCGUCUCAAGGGCACAUUUUCAUCCCACACUCUACAAGAUGAAUGGAAAUAAUAAAACCCAAAGAGCGAGAGAGAGAAUGGGGGAGAAAAUAUUGUUCCAAGUGUUGUUGGUGCUUAGAGAAAUAGCUAACACGGAUUCACUUCAUUCUUUGUUGGUCAUAUAUUGCAGGUAAAAUUGGAUGCCGUACCAUGCCCAAAGGAGACAGGGGCAACAUACAACAGAUGUUGUGCAACUUUAUUCCAUUCCACAAGCAAAAUAAUGCUCAGUGUGUGUGCAUGCAGUACAGUUGUACCUUGUUUUGCGGCCAGGAUCUGUUCCAAAAAGGACACAGGGCAAAGCGCUGCAUCUGUGCAUGCGUGUGUGGCAAACCAGGAAGUAACCCGUUCCGGUUCUUCCGGGUUUGCCGCGGACGUUUGCUGGAAUGGACGCUAGACAAGGUGGACGUUCGUGGAGGUAUUACUGUAUGUGUGACAAGACAUCAUCAUAUUAGUACUUCCACAACCGAUGAAUGAAAAAGCAGCCACUUAGGUUGUAGAAGUGCAAAUAUGGUGACAUCUGGUCACCUAUACCACAUGCGCGCACACUGAGCAUCAUUUGAGGGAGAGCCAUGAAUAAGCACUUGCCUGUGUGUCUACCCAUAAUGUGUUGCCUGGCCAAAGACUGAAUGCGGGGAAUGUUCAUAUGUGAGGGACCCAAAAAAAUCCAUUGCAUUACUUCCUCCACAACAAUGGGAACAAAACAGAUGCCAGACUGAGGCAGGGGAAUUCUGAACUUCAGACUGCUGUUUGGGGAGGGCAUUAUUUUAGUGCAGUGCUUUGGAAAAACCCCCACCUCACUUCAGGUAGUAAGCUAGCAGUUUUGGAAGAAUGGUUCAGAAUAGGCCUCUGCCAGAUGUACUAGUUUACUGCAUGCAUGGAAUGUUUACAGGAAAGACCCAUUAAAACUAAGACUCUGCCUUGUCCACGCUGCAAUCUGUACAGCCCAGGCAGGGCUUUUUUCAGCCGGAACUCACUGGAAGUCAGUUCCAGCACCUGUCAGGUGGAUGCCAUUGCCAUUAUAAGAGGUGUUCAUGGGGAGUUCCGGUACCUCAUUUUCUGGAAAAAUAGCAUUGAGUCCAGGGUUCUCCCACCUCAGUCUGCAAAAUGUGCAGAUCAGCUCAGGAGAUGCAAACGUCCCCCAACUUCUCCAUGCAGACGGUUGCUCCUUCCCUCCUUGCCCCAUUCAGCGGUCUCCAGGGACCCUUCACAACAGGGUCACGGAUUGUACCUCUGUUGCUGCACCAUUCUUGCCUUAGGCUCUAUGGAGAUUGUUAAUAUUCUGCAUAUGGAAGCAAUUUUGAUGCCUAAAAACUGACUCUUCUUUGAAAUGAAAAUUUCUUUGCUCCAAAAAUAUGGUUCAAAAGCUUUACUACAGAACGCUACUCCACAGCAACUUUAAACAAUAAAGCAACAUUCGGAUACGUGCAUAAGAUCCUAUGCCGAUCUCACAUAGGUAAACUAUAAUAGAUUAUGAAUAUCUUCCAUCCAGAUCUAAAAAACAAAGUUCUGUCUCUCUUCCAACAGCCUGAGGCUGUUUUCCUACAGAGAGAAUUAGCACGUCCAUUCUUUCCAGUAGCUUGAGAACAAAGACUCACUCCAACCAAGACGGAGGUCCACAUAUGCGCAGACUUGUAACACAAUUCACCUUGUCAAUGAGGCACAGAAAUAGUAACAUUAGGCUCUCCACUUCAGCACUCCUUUGGCUUCAAUGGGAAUUUCCACGCCAUGCUUCACAAUAUACACACAGACAUAUUACAGAGUUAUUUUCCAUUUCAAUGUGCAUUAAACAAUUAUAUUUAACAGGCUCUACCUCUUUCUCUGAAUAAAUUCUCUUGUGGCUUGGGCAAUGUGCCUUACUUUAUAACUGAAGUCAGGCAGCUCAUCAUUUUUCUCACCUGGAUUGGGAAUUCAUUGCAUAUUGUAUCGGUUGUGUGGCAUCAACUUGCCAUGGGAGAGAUUUGCCAGGAAGUCCACAAUGCACUGUGUCAAUGAAAUGACAGUGCAGAUUUAUGCUCAGGGCAGCGUAAUAUGCAUGGCCAAUUUGCCAUGCACACAUCGCAGAAGAAGCAACCAGCAAAGAGUAGCAAUGUCUGCUGAGCACUGAUACCUUGGAGAUCUCUCAGAAAGCUAGCUAUUUUUUGUAUAAUGCCAAAACUACAAUCCAAAAUUAGACAAAUCUUUUUCAUAGGUUUUGGGUACAUUGACAACUUCUCUCUUUGCAACUCAUUUUCUUUGGUUGCUUGGUUAUUUACAGGAUUUAUUCCCUUCACCAUAAGGUCUCAGUGUGGGUUACCACAAAGCAAUUUAAAAUCAAAUAAAAUGAAUACAUAAACAAAAAUAAAAGCAGAUCCUAAACACAUAUCUCAGCUGUCAAAGACCAGGGGGGAAAGAUGCAUUUUCAGCCUACAAUGAAAGCUGUAUAAUGAGGAUGUUAGCUACACCUCUAGGGCAAGGGAAUUUUGGGGGGGGGGGGGCUGCUUCAGAUGAAGACCCAUGUACAGCACAUUGCAAUAAUUCUAUCCGCAGGUUGUCAGAGCAUGGAGCACAGGAAACAAGCAGCACUUUGAGACUGUGCUUCGAAAUAAAAGGAAAGCCAGUGCAGAUGAAAGAAAGGAUGAUGAAACAGUUGGGGGUUAGAGAUGGAGAGUGAAAUGUGCAGAGAUCAUCUUUGGGGCUCCCUCCCCCCUUUGAGUGACAGCCUCUCGCUGCAGCCACCCCUUUGCCUUUGAAGCAUAGAAGAGAGGCAACCUCUCCUGACAUCAUUCAAUUUGCUGGAAGCCUUGUGUGUGUCACCAUUCCGUUUAUGCUCCCGACAAAUUAAUCAUCAGUCAACUUGAGCAUCUGCACACAUGCUGAAUGUGUAAUGGGCUGUCCUCUGCUUGCUUGACAAACAGGGAGCAAGUUUGAUUAACAUGUAAUUGAAAGAGGAGGAAGAGGAGGAGGAAGAAGAAGGGUGAGCAAUACGCUCAGGUACUCAGACAUUCUGCUGCAGUCCAAGGUUUGCUGAACCAGGAAAAGUAAGCCGCAUUUGAGCUCAGGGGAUCUUAUUUUUGAAUAAAGUUGUUAGGAUGGAGCUAGGGGUGGGAGCAUCUAACACCUUCGGCUUCUCUCCAUUUCUUAUUUUUUCAACCUUAAAUUCAGGUGUGGGUCGAACACCAGAAUGUUGAAAUGAAGCUGAAUGUUGGAAGAUUCAGGCCAGAAUGUUGGAAGAUUCAGGCCAGAUUGAAGAAAGCAUUUCUACAUGCUGCACAUAGUGAAACUAUGGAAAACACACACACAAGGCAGUGAUGGACAUCAACUAGCCUUUUCAAAGAAGAUGGGCAACAAGAUUAUCAACAGCCACUUGCCAUAAUAGCUGUGCCUCAACAUUUGGAUGCAGAAAUUAUUCUGAAUUACCUGUUGCCGGAAACCACAGCGGCAGUGGUGGGGAGAGUGCACUUGUGCUCGAAUCCUGUAGUGGCCACUGUGAGAACAGGAUGCUGGACCACAUGGGCCACUGGUCUGACCCAGCAGGACUCGUCUUGUGUCCCUAUGUUGCCCUCUGCUCUAGCUAAGCCCCGAUGCUAGGCGUUCCAUAUAGAGUUGGAGGAGAUAUUCAAUUCUCAACUAAAGGCAAAUCUACAUAAUUUGCACUUUCCAAAACGAUGUGAAAGGUGAUACGCAGGCGUCCUUUAAAAUCCGUGCUCCCUUGGGUUUAGCAAUGCAGUUCUCUGACCAAGUAAUGUGUACAAAAAUGCAUGUGCAUAUCUUAGAGACCACUGUAAGCAGAUGAAAACACUAGCAGGAGUGCAAUAAAACUUGUAAUGUAGCAAGAACUAUGGAGAUAAUGGAGUUAUAUAAAACAUGAACUAUUGAAAAAGAUGCAUCAGAAAAGGUUUAACAAAAGGACCCAUCGAAGGGAAGAUGGGAAGUCCAGAGAUUCGGAGG
Non-coding RNA from Podarcis lilfordi (Lilford's wall lizard), 4807 nucleotides. Lineage: Eukaryota; Metazoa; Chordata; Lepidosauria; Squamata; Lacertidae. The record is from the annotation of a GenBank genome assembly.